GAUGAAGAACGUAGCGAAAUGCGUUAAGUAAUGCGAAUUGCAGAAUUCCAGUGAGUCAUCGAAUCUUUGAACGCACAUUGCGCCCUUUGGUAUUCCGAAGGGCAUGCCUGUUCGAGCGUCAUUAUCACCCCUCAAGCCCUCGGCUUGGUGUUGGACGGUUUGGUGGAGGCCCCCUCGGGGGCUCCUGCCCCUCCCAAAGACAAUGACGGCGGCCUCGUUGGACCCCCGGUACACUGAGUUCUUCACGGGACACGUAUCGGACACAUGGGUUUACGGGACACGGUCUGCCUCCCCUCAGGGAGAAUCUUUCUAAGGUUGACCUCGGAUCAGGUAGGGAUACCCGCUGAACUUAAGCAUAUCAAUAAGCGGAGGA
This 373-nucleotide unclassified non-coding RNA is filed under the name soil metagenome. RNAcentral describes it as "partial contains 5.8S ribosomal RNA, internal transcribed spacer 2, and large subunit ribosomal RNA". The stretch from base 1 to 121 matches the Rfam family "5.8S ribosomal RNA", at positions 35 to 154 of the family's 154-position model. The record is from RNAcentral.